This 497-nucleotide ribosomal RNA is filed under the name uncultured bacterium. RNAcentral's name for it is "partial 16S ribosomal RNA". It matches the Rfam family "Bacterial small subunit ribosomal RNA", at positions 28 to 507 of the family's 1533-position model. The record is from RNAcentral.
GAUGAACGCUGGCGGCGUGCCUAAUACAUGCAAGUCGAGCGAACAGAUGAGGAGCUUUCCCCUCUGACAUUAGCGGCGGACGGGUGAGUAACACGUGGAUAACCGACCUUAAAGACCGGGUUAACGUCGGGAAACCGGAGCUAAUACCGGCUAAUAUCUUAAAACGCAUUGUUCAAUAUUGAAAAACGGUUUUGCUGUCACUUAUAGAUGGAUCCGCGCCGCAUUAGCUAGUUGGUAAGGUAACGGCUUACCAAGGCAACGAUGCGUAGCCGACCUGAGAGGGUGAUCGGCCACACUGGAACUGAGACACGGUCCAGACUCCUACGGGAGGCAGCAGUAGGGAAUCUUCCGCAAUGGGCGAAAGCUUGACGGAGCAACGCCGCGUGAGUGAUGAAGGUCUUCGGAUCGUAAAACUCUGUUGUUAGGGAAGAACAAAUGUGUAAGUAACUAUGCACGUCUUGACGGUACCUAAUCAGAAAGCCACGGCUAACUACGUG